CCUACGGGUGGCAGCAGUGGGGAAUAUUGCGCAAUGGGGGAAACCCUGACGCAGCAACGCCGCGUGAGUGAGGAAGUAUCUCGGUAUGUAAAGCUCUAUCAGCGGGGAAGAAAGAGGACGGUACCCGACUAAGAAUCCCCGGUUAAUUACGUGCCAGCAGCCGCGGUAAUACGUAGGGGGAGAGCGUUAUCCGGAUUUACUGGGGGGAAAGGGAGCGUAGACGGGGGCGCAAGUCGGAAGUGAAAGCCCGUGGCUCAACCGCGGAACUGCUUUGGAAACUGCGAGGCUGGAGUGCAGGAGAGGUAAGCGGAAUUCCUGGUGUAGCGGUGAAAUGCGUAGAUAUCAGGAGGAACACCGGUGGCGAAGGCGGCUUGCUGGACAGUAACUGACGUUGAGGCUCGAAAGCGUGGGGAGCGAACAGGAUUAGAUACCCGAGUAGUC
This 441-nucleotide ribosomal RNA is filed under the name uncultured bacterium. RNAcentral describes it as "partial 16S ribosomal RNA". It matches the Rfam family "Bacterial small subunit ribosomal RNA", at positions 338 to 795 of the family's 1533-position model. The record is from RNAcentral.